This is a non-coding RNA of Xyrichtys novacula (pearly razorfish), 2812 nucleotides long. The record is from the annotation of a GenBank genome assembly. NCBI's taxonomy places the organism in Eukaryota, Metazoa, Chordata, Actinopteri, Labriformes, Labridae.
AAGAUUCACCUUGGAGCUAGAACAGGGACGUGCACAUGAUUAUACAGGGGCAGGGGCUCAAGUUUUUUCCAGUCAUUUAUACAAUAUGGAAAUUAAUGUGAAAUUAAAAAACAAAGUAUUAAUAGAAAGGUUAUGACUGUCCUGUGUAGAUGACAGUGAUAUCCAAUAGGCUAGGCACUCACGAGGCUGGCUGUGGCAAGUGUAAGUGAAAGCAACACGCACUGGCAGGAAGAACAGCAAACGCCGAUGAAGGAAAAGGGUCUUUGCAGUGAUGGGCGUUACCAGAGAGGGCGAUGGCCAGAGGAAACAAAUGGGACGGGGAGGCAGCGCGUUGGGGGGGGACGCGACACAGCUCGGGCCCGCCAGUGCCCCAACGGGGUCCUAGUUAGGGCCCGAGCGUAGCUGCUAAGCAGCUGCGAGAGCCCUCUUGUUCCUGAUGGAUUCUUCUUUCGUUAUUUUUCCUCCGCUUUAAACUGGAAAAUGGCCCACUUCCCACUGGCGAAAACUCAGGAAAUUUGGCAGGACGACCGGGCCUGGUGAAAAAUUUGAUAUUCUGAAGUCGCCCAAACAAAAAAAUGAAAAAUGGCUCCAUAGCGCCCCCUAUGGUGAAAACUCACCUGACGCCUGUACGCUUUGUCAAAAUGACACAAAAUUUGACACACAUGUGUAUCUCAAUAAGAUCUACAAAAAAGUCAGUGCGGGCGUAUCUGUCAAAUGUACGGUUAAAGGGCUAUUUCGCAUUUUUUGCCGAUCCGCACACAUUGGAAUUUCGCUAACUCCUCCGAAGGCUUUCGUUCCACCGGCACCAAAUUUGCUCAGGCCAAUCUACACCCCAUGGCCAUUCAAAGUUGUACAAAUCAUGACGUUGCACCCCACGGUUUAUGUUCUAGGGGGCGCCAAAGAUAACCCAAAAAUCCACAUUCUUAAAAGUCUUAUUACUUUUUAUUUUUGUCCUCACUGGCCUCCAAGUUUUCGAGGAUGAUGCUAUGUCCAGCCAUCAACACAUGUGUGAAGGAAUUUUUACUCCCCAAAAGAGCGCCCCCCCCAUGGCAGGAGAAAAAAGUCAAUUUUUUCUUGUCCCCUAAGGUGAAAAUACACAUUGUUGAGUGUCACGCCUGAACUCUUUGUCAUAUUGACACAAAAAUUAACAAUCAUGUGUAUCUCAAUUAGAUCUACGAAAAAGUCAAAGAGCGCGUAUCUGUAUAAUGUACGGUAAAAGGGCUAUUUUGCAUUUUUUGCCGAUUCGCACACAUUGGAAUUUCGCUAACUCCUCCGAAGGCUUUCGUCCCACUGACACCAUAGUUGCUCAGGCCAAUCUACAACCCAUGGCCAUUCAAAGUUGUACAAAUCAUGACGCUGCACCCCACGGUUUAGGUUCUAGGGGGCGCCAAAGAUAACCCAAAAAUCCACAGUCUUAAAAGUCUUAUUACUUUUUAUUUUUGUCCUCACUGGCCUCCAAGUUUUCUAGGAUGAUGCAAUGUCCAGCCAUCAACACAUUUGUGAAGGAAUUUUUACUCCCCAAAAGAGCGCCCCCCCAUGGCAGGAGAAAAAGUCAAGUUUUUCCUGCCCAUCGCUCAAUGGCUCAAACGCAUCGCUCUCUCGGCAAAACCGAAAGGAGGAGCAACUUGCCAUUUGGAUAUAUACUAGCUGUGUUUGUGCCCUCACUCAUGGUCCAGACUUUUUUCAAAAAGGACAUGGAGUUUGUCUGCAGCGAGCGUUUUGGUAGAAACUGCGCCUCCCAUUCAUUAUAAUGGUAAAUGACCACAGACAAGUGCGCACACCAUCUUUGGACCUUGAGUGUGACGCGAUCGGGAGGGGUAGGCGGUCGCACUGGGGGCGGCGCGACACGGCUCGGGCCCGCCAGUGCCCCACCGGGGCCCUAGUUAGGGCCCGAGCGUAGCUGCUAAGCAGCUGCGAGAGCCCUCUUGUUCCUGAUGGAUUCUUCUUUCGUUAUUUUUCCUCCGCUUUAAACUGGAAAAUGGCCCACUUCCCACUGGCGAAAACUCAGGAAAUUUGGCAGGACGACCGGGCCUGGUGAAAAAUUUGAUAUUCUGAAGUCGCCCAAACAAAAAAAGGAAAAAUGGCUCCAUAGCGCCCCCUAUGGUGAAAACUCACCUGACGCCUGUACGCUUUGUCAAAAUGACACAAAAUUUGACACACAUGUGUAUCUCAAUAAGAUCUACAAAAAAGUCAGUGCGGGCAUAUCUGUCAAAUGUACGGUUAAAGGGCUAUUUCGCAUUUUUUGCCGAUCCGCACACAUUGGAAUUUCGCUAACUCCUCCGAAGGCUUUCGUUCCACCGGCACCAAAUUUGCUCAGGCCAAUCUACACCCCAUGGCCAUUAAAAGUUGUACAAAUCAUGAUGCUGCACCCCACGGUUUACGUUCUAGGGGGCGCCAAAGAUAACCCAAAAAUCCACAUUCUUAAAAGUCUUAUAACUUUUUAUUUUUGUCCUCACUGGCCUCCAAGUUUUCUAGGAUGAUGCAAUGUCCAGCCAUCAACACAUUUGUGAAGGAAUUUUUACUCGCCAAAAGAGCGCCCCCCCAUGGCAGGAGAAAAAAGUCCAUUUUUUCUAGUCCUCUAAGGCGAAAAUACACAUUGUUGAAUGUCACGCCUGUACGCUUCGUCAUAUUGACACAAAAUUUGACAAUCACGUGUAUCUCAAUAAGAUCUACGAAAGAGUCAAUGCGCGCGUAUCAGUAAAAUGUACGGUUAAAGGGCUAUUUCGCAUUUUUUGCCAUUUCGCACACAUUGGAAUGUGGCUAACUCCUCCUAAGGCUUUCGUCCCACUGACACCAAAUUUGCUCAGGCCAA